RNAcentral lists this long non-coding RNA (219 nucleotides) under Elaeis guineensis (African oil palm). Its description in RNAcentral is "long non-coding RNA (EGUI_LNC048572)". Lineage: Eukaryota; Viridiplantae; Streptophyta; Magnoliopsida; Arecales; Arecaceae. The record is from RNAcentral.
GUUUAAUUAGUGAUUUGAUCACUAAUUAACUCAAUUUGAUUGAGUAAUUAUUUUUGAAUCAAGUCCAAUUGAAUUGGAUUCAGUUGGGUUUGACCCGAUUAGGUUAAGAGUUGACCUAAUCGUCGAGGUGGUUUGGUCCCUGAUUUGAUCAGGGAUUGGGCUUAGUCAAUUCUUGAUUUGAUUAAGAUUUUAUUGAGCCUAAUUAAGCCUAAUUGUGUU